Molecule: long non-coding RNA, 310 nt
Filed under: Olea europaea (common olive)
Lineage: Eukaryota; Viridiplantae; Streptophyta; Magnoliopsida; Lamiales; Oleaceae
Description: long non-coding RNA (OEUR_LNC014510)
Source: RNAcentral
UGCAUGGAAUGCUAGUGGACCUUCGGGUUCUAGAGAAAGAGAUAUGAAAUUUCUACAUGGAAAUUAAGAGGACCUAAGAUGGGUGUGUCGCUUGGUCGCCGAUAUACUCCAUAAGAGAAGAGCUGUAUGAAGUGUAUUAUUUAUUUGUUAUAUACCUGUGUAUGGAAAUUUGCACGUAUCUUACUGGCUAUUUUUAAUACUCACUCUUACAUUAAUUUUUCAGAUUAGUUCGGGUCGAUUGGAACAGUGGAGAAUUGGUGAUGCAGACUGCCAAGUGGAUAAAGAAUAGAGAAAAAGAAAUAAGUUUGCC